AGGGAAGACCCCUUUCUGGCCUAGGUAGAUCAAAUCAAUAGGAUAGUCUUACAGCUCGAUCGGAGGUCAAGACUGUGGUCCGGCAGAAAACAAGAAGUCAUUCGUAUCAAGUGAUGCGUGAAUUGCUCAGUAGUGCUUCGCCACUACCAUAGCUGAUUUCUGGUGGCGCAUCCCCCACACAAGCAUCGCCCGACGAAGGGGGGACGAGGAAAGCUACAGGCUGAAAAGCUUCGAC
RNAcentral lists this long non-coding RNA (235 nucleotides) under Olea europaea (common olive). RNAcentral's name for it is "long non-coding RNA (OEUR_LNC006355)". Lineage: Eukaryota; Viridiplantae; Streptophyta; Magnoliopsida; Lamiales; Oleaceae. The record is from RNAcentral.